UCAGAUUGAACGCUGGCGGCAGGCCUAACACAUGCAAGUCGAGCGGAUGACGGGAGCUUGCUCCCUGAUUUAGCGGCGGACGGGUGAGUAAUGCCUAGGAAUCUGCCUGGUAGUGGGGGAUAACGUUCCGAAAGGAACGCUAAUACCGCAUACGUCCUACGGGAGAAAGCAGGGGACCUUCGGGCCUUGCGCUAUCAGAUGAGCCUAGGUCGGAUUAGCUAGUUGGUGAGGUAAUGGCUCACCAAGGCGACGAUCCGUAACUGGUCUGAGAGGAUGAUCAGUCACACUGGAACUGAGACACGGUCCAGACUCCUACGGGAGGCAGCAGUGGGGAAUAUUGGACAAUGGGCGAAAGCCUGAUCCAGCCAUGCCGCGUGUGUGAAGAAGGUCUUCGGAUUGUAAAGCACUUUAAGUUGGGAGGAAGGGCAGUAAGUUAAUACCUUGCUGUUUUGACGUUACCGACAGAAUAAGCACCGGCUAACUUCGUGCCAGCAGCCGCGGUAAUACGAAGGGUGCAAGCGUUAAUCGGAAUUACUGGGCGUAAAGCGCGCGUAGGUGGUUCGUUAAGUUGGAUGUGAAAGCCCCGGGCUCAACCUGGGAACUGCAUCCAAAACUGGCGAGCUAGAGUACGGUAGAGGGUGGUGGAAUUUCCUGUGUAGCGGUGAAAUGCGUAGAUAUAGGAAGGAACACCAGUGGCGAAGGCGACCACCUGGACUGAUACUGACACUGAGGUGCGAAAGCGUGGGGAGCAAACAGGAUUAGAUACCCUGGUAGUCCACGCCGUAAACGAUGUCAACUAGCCGUUGGAAUCCUUGAGAUUUUAGUGGCGCAGCUAACGCAUUAAGUUGACCGCCCGGGAGA
This 861-nucleotide ribosomal RNA is filed under the name Ectopseudomonas oleovorans. RNAcentral's name for it is "bacterial SSU rRNA". It matches the Rfam family "Bacterial small subunit ribosomal RNA", at positions 24 to 880 of the family's 1533-position model. The record is from RNAcentral. Lineage: Bacteria; Pseudomonadati; Pseudomonadota; Gammaproteobacteria; Pseudomonadales; Pseudomonadaceae.